CAAGUCGAACGGAACCCUUCGGGGUUAAGUAGCGGACAGAUGAGUAACACGUAAGAACCUGCCUCUAGGACGGGGACAACAGUUGGAAACGACUGCUAAUCCCGGAUGAGCCGAAAGGUAAAAGAUUAAUCGCCAAGAGAGGGGCUUGCGUCUGAUUAGCUAGUUGGUGUGGUAAGAGCGCACCAAGGCGACGAUCAGUAGCUGGUCUGAGAGGAUGAUCAGCCACACUGGGACUGAGACACGGCCCAGACUCCUACGGGAGGCAGCAGUGGGGAAUUUUCCGCAAUGGGCGAAAGCCUGACGGAGCAAGACCGCGUGGGGGAGGAAGGUUCUUGGAUUGUCAACCCCUUUUCUCAGGGAAGAAGAAAGUGACGGUACCUGAGGAAUAAGCAUCGGCUAACUCCGUGCCAGCAGCCGCGGUAAUACGGAGGAUGCAAGCGUUAUCCGGAAUGAUUGGGCGUAAAGAGUCCGUAGGUGGCUAGUCAAGUCUGCUGUUAAAGAGCGAGGCUUAACUUCGUCAAAGCAGUGGAAACUGAAGAGCUAGAGUGUAGUAGGGGCAGGGGGAAUUCCUGGUGUAGCGGUGAAAUGCGUAGAGAUCAGGAAGAACACCGGUGGCGAAAGCGCUCUGCUGGGCUACAACUGACACUGAGGGACGAAAGCUAGGGGAGCGAAUGGGAUUAGAUACCCCAGUAGUCCUAGCGGUAAACGAUGGAAACUAGGUGUGGCCUGUAUCGACCCGGGCCGUGCCGGAGCAAACGCGUUAAGUUUCCCGCCUGGGGAGUACGCACGCAAGUGUGAAACUCAAAGGAAUUGACGG
Molecule: ribosomal RNA, 817 nt
Filed under: uncultured bacterium
Lineage: Bacteria
Description: bacterial SSU rRNA
Rfam family: Bacterial small subunit ribosomal RNA
Source: RNAcentral